CCUCGAUGCACGGCUCCCCGUUGUCGAAGAAGGGCUGGAAAUCCGGGAUGGAGGAGAAGCGCUCCAGCAUCAGGUCCUCGGCCAGGGGGUGCGGCGGGUGCGUCUCGGGGAAGCCCAGCUCAACAGUACCAGAAAAGUGCAAAGUAUCUGCUGCUCUGGAAACCAAGUUACGAGAAGAAAUGGCCUCGUACUUAAAGCAUGCACCUGGAAGCUAAGAGAUUCAUGCUGAAGAGUCUCCAGCUGAGAUCAGAGCUCUGCUGUGCACAAUGCUGUACAAACACUUCCUGACCCUAUAUAGGCAGGAUAGCCAGAGGGUGGGAGAGGUAACAGACACACAGAAAGGUGUGAGACCUGCCUGAAUAUAUUGAUUAGGCCAGGAGGAGAGCUGGGAACGGUCCCCGGAUACCUACUCAUUGGAGCACACUGCUUCCCCUAGGGGAGCUGUGAUCACUCAUGGCUGCAAAGUACUCUGAAGCCCUUGGAUGGGAGAUGCUGGAGAAAGGCAAAGCAUUAUAACUAUCCUGGGGACAUGACUCAAUACUCUUUCACCCUCAUUCCUCUCCCUGCCUCCCCUCAAAAGAAUUACGUUGACAGUAUCACACCAGCUAUAGGAAGCAAUAGGCUUGCCCCUGAAACAUGCUAUUGAAUUGCCCUGAGUUUACUGGACGGCAGGAGCAAGACCAGUCAAACAGCUGCGACACUACUUCCCGAGCCAAUCGAGCCUCUGCCACCUCCACCGUCCUUCUGCAGCCCCAGAGGACGUCAAGGGUGUAUAAUAGCCAAGACACACUGCGCUUUUUAUCUUUUGUUCCAUGCCAGGUGUAGCCAUGCCACGUGACACUAUGUUCACUGCAGCAUGCCAGAGUCACGCGCGGUGGGAUCGGUAUUGGAGGUAAUACUAGCCUCAGGCCAGACUGCUUCAUUAUGGGAGAUAUUUUGACAGCCUAGCAGCAAAAGCAACAGCAGCCAGGUACAGGUGGGACUUCUAGGGGAGGGGUAGACACACUGAGAUGGGUUUUGCUGUUUAAAAACCACUCCACUGAGAAAUGCUGGGUUUUGCCCUUUUUAAUCCAAUGGAUGGACUGGCCAAUCUUUUGCAUCAAUAUAUUGGAAUGAGAAAAGAAACACUGGUGCAUACAAUAAGACUCUCUCCUUCCCUGGAACAGGGUCGUGCUGAUAUCAAGUCCCACCAGAGCCAGCACACCACAAACACCCCUGCUUAAUGCAAGCUUCGCUCCCAUGGGGAAUCUGCUUGCUCCCUCAUGAAGAGCCAGGUAUGGCAUGUGUGGCAUACAGAGCUCUCUCUCCCUAUCACGCUGUGUUCACACAACUCCUCCAAGUUUACCUCCCUGCAAAGUCACUCAGAAGGCAGAGCAGGGUAGUAGUACCUUUGAGACUAAGCUCAGUAGGAGAGUCAACAUUCAGCUAGGAAACUAAGCCAAAGAGUUAGGUAUUCCCACUUCUUGGACGAUGAGGUGAGGGAGACUGGGACAAAGACUGACCUCAAAGCCUAGGAUAUUAUUUCUAAACAAACUGCUUCUUCACUCUAAUACUGAAUAACUCCUAAUACAGGGCAUGUUUCCCCCUCCUCGCUCAAUCUCUGAAUAGUUUAGCUUGUCAUUGCUAAGUAUACCCUCCUUGAGAACUGGGCUUGCCAAUAUGUAAGCCGCAUGUCAGGAAUCCCACAAGUACAACACGGCAAAGGUACCAAUAGGGAACGUUCCUUCAUGAUGUGUGACGGGUGGACAAACCUGCCAGAGGCCAUUAAAUUAAGGAUCAGGCCACCGGGGUGGAGCUGCAACCAGAUCCAGAACCAGACCCAAAAUUACUCCAAAAAGGGAUUAAUAUCGAAGAGCAAGAUCCUUCUUCCAUUGAAAUCAAUGGGGAAAAUCUUCACUGACUUCAAUAGAAGGGAGAGAAGAGCCCCAGCUUUUGUAACAGGUAGCAUGAGAAAUGCUACCAAGUGACAUUUAUUUCCAAUUGAUUCAAAUGAUUUGCAAAGCUUUGGUUUCUGAGAGCAAGAAAUUUGGCUGCAUUAUAAGGGAUGCAAGCUGGAUGUAAAAAAGGCAUUUCUAAGAGAGGCCAGUGAAAUAAGCAGACCUUCAUUGAAUCGGAUACUGUCAGUCAUCCUCUCUGACCCUUCACUAUUACUGCAAGUGCCUUCUCCUUUGUAGUUCAACCAUCUGCCAAACUCCCUGCAGUUCUCUCAACCUUUUCUCACAUCCCAUCUAAAAAGGCAUCUUUUCUCCCUUGCCAGUGGCCCUCCAGUCCUUAUCUGAUAUUGUUUAUUGCUAUCUUUGCAACCGUAGUACGGGAUCUGGGAUAUCAAAACGGUUGUACAGAAAAGCCUGCGUGUUUUCUCCCUUUUUUUUCUUUAAAUGCUUAGUUUGUACUGCUCUAAUCUGCUCCAUUACUGAGAAAAACACAUUGUGUCAAAAGACUGUGGCAGUUACAGUCACGGUGUGUUAAUCUGCAGCUCAAUUGUGUCCCAGCACUUGUAGGUCACUCUGUGUUACUGCACUUUCCCUUCCUCCAGCUCUAAUAUCUUAGUAACAACAGGAUACUCCAGAAAACUUGAUGCACAAGCACCUACAUACAGCUGGAAGCUAUUGCUGGGUCAAGCCAACCAAAACAGAGUGAAUGUCAAUAAGAAGAUAACAUCAGUUACCCUGUCCCAACAUCAGAUUAAAACUAUAAAAGGCCAAGCCCUCACAUCCUCCUUCACAUACACACACACACACACACACAGACCAGUCCUGUAUAGAUAUAAAAAGUGUGUGUUAACUAGCACGCUUAUUGCCAAAUGCAUAGCACCUUGUCCAGAUGAGGGUAAAAAGCAUUUUGUUGGCUAAAACACUGUAAUUACCAGUGCAGACAUGGCAUAUGGCUUUUACCAGGCCCUAAACUGGUCCAGUUGACAGGUUUGCAAAUGUUAAAGGACUCACUACUUGGUCUACACUGGAUUUUUCAAAUGUGUUAUCUGGAGCUAACAUGUUGUAACAACACAAUUUUAAAUCCCAGUUUUGUGCAUAGUUUUUGUACUGCUCUAACUCUCGACUUUUAGAUAUUGACUGAGUUAAAGUGGUACCAAGAGCUAUGGGGUAAGCUACAGUGGCAUAAGGCACCUUCAAGCUAAUACACCUUAGGGGUAGUACUGCUUUAAUUAGAGCAAUUGCUAAACCAAUGCAGUUAUGUAGCAAUACAAAAACUGUGCGUGUGGAUCAGUCCCUAAUUUAAGCUAUGUCUGCACUGCAUUUGGUUUGCAACAGGUGUAGACAUCUGUGAGCUAACUUUAACCUAAUGAGCACAGAUAUCAAGAAGCAGCAAAACCAUGGCAGCAGGGACUCCAGAGCAAGCUAAAUAGGCACCGGGGCGUGUAGGCAGGCUGGUACUACCCAUGCAGAAGCCAGAGUCAUCGUAUCUGUGCUGCUGGUCCCUGAGCUGGCUGCAUUAAUACCGGGACAGACAUUUGCUACAAAUCACACCUUCCCCUGCAGGGUCAACAUACUCCUAAACAAGACCACAGCCAUACUUCUGAAAACACUGUCCCCCUACCUGCAGUACACGUACAUCACCAUCACACCUACCCAUACAGGCAUGUGCGAAGAUACCCAUGCAGGCAGCUACGCACACCUGUACUCGCACACACCUGCAAAGCCACACGGAUGUGCAGAUGCUCACUCCUACCUGCCAAAAUGAGGCCCAAGGGCUGGGCCGACCCCACAGACAAGCCAGUUUUAUGUUGGUUUGUUUUUCUUUUCUUUUAAAUCUUACUUUCCCAGAAAAAGAGAUCCAUUCGAGUAAACCUGUUGCCAUGACCACAUGGAGAUGAAGAGUUUUAAUCAAACAAAGCUUGGGUAAGAGGUGAGGAAAGAGUAAUGAAA
This is a long non-coding RNA of Alligator sinensis (Chinese alligator), 3884 nucleotides long. RefSeq lists it as uncharacterized. The record is from RefSeq and is a predicted model, not a curated record. The transcript is spliced from 3 exons. Lineage: Eukaryota; Metazoa; Chordata; Crocodylia; Alligatoridae.